GCGGCCGUAGCUCAAUUGGAUAGAGCGGAAGACUUCGAAUCUUACGGUUAAGGGUUCAACUCCCUUCGGCCGUGCUA
Molecule: transfer RNA, 77 nt
Filed under: bacterium
Lineage: Bacteria
Description: tRNA-Arg
Rfam family: tRNA
About the family: Transfer RNA (tRNA) molecules are approximately 80 nucleotides in length.
Source: RNAcentral